CAAUGACAUAAGCAUUGUUAAUGCCAGAACACUUAUUUAAGUGCUCAAUGACAGUGAACCAUGAUGGAGAAAUACACGCCUCUUCGCUCCCUCCACCCACGUGUUGCUGACGGGUUUAUCUGUGAAAGAGUGUCCUGGCUGUGGUACCAUCGAGGUGGCACUGAUCAGGGGCCUAUUAAGGAAUAUCGCAUGGUCCUUGCGGACAACCAGGUGCACUCUUAAGUUCAGUGCCUGUUUAUUGCACUGCAGGGUGAUUCUGUCCACGUGACAGUACCACAUGGCUUCCUUCACACAUUCCUUGAUAUCCUACAUAAGAAGAGUGUCUAUGAACUCAGCAUGUUUUGUUUUGUUUAGUUAAAAAGCUGAAUGUUCUGUGGCCCGUUGAUGCGCUGUUUUCUAUUGUACUGACACGAGCGAUUCAAUGUAGAGACAACUUAUUGGGCACCUUAGGUCCUAUUCCCUAACACCAUUUGUGUUUUUGGCUGCUCCUUCUACUAACCUAGGUUGUUUAGUUUGUAUGGUGUUCUAAUAAUGUUCUUAUACUUGCCUCUGAUUAUGGUUUAUCUCUGUACCUUUUGUGCCCUUAUGAGUGGUAAUGAUGUUACUAAA
Lolium rigidum is the source of this 609-nucleotide long non-coding RNA. RefSeq lists it as uncharacterized. The record is from RefSeq and is a predicted model, not a curated record. The transcript is spliced from 2 exons. NCBI's taxonomy places the organism in Eukaryota, Viridiplantae, Streptophyta, Magnoliopsida, Poales, Poaceae.